GAUGAACGCUGGCGGCGUGCCUAAUACAUGCAAGUCGAGCGAACAGACGAGGACUUUGCUCGUCAGACGUUAGCCGCGCGCGGGUGAGAAACACGUGGAUACCCCACUUAUCUUACUGAGAUAACUGCGGGACUCCGGAGCUUAUACCGGAGGAUAAUUUGAACCGUAUGGUUCAAUAGUGAAAGACGGUUUUGCUGUAACUUAUAGAUGGAUCCGCGCCGCAUUAGCUAGUUGGUAAGGUAACGGCUUACCAAGGCCCCGAUGCGUAGCCGACCGGAGAGACUGAUCGCCCACAUGGGAACUGAGACAGGGUCCAUAGUCCUACGGGAGGGAGCAGUAGGGAACGGGCGGCAAUGGGCGAAAGCAUGACGGAGCGACGCCGCGUGAGUGAUGGAGGUCUUCGGAGCGUAAAGCUCUCUUAUUGGGGAAGAACAACUGUGUCAGUAACUAUGCACGUCUUGACGGUACCUAAUGAGAAAGCCACGGCUAACUACGUG
Molecule: ribosomal RNA, 497 nt
Filed under: uncultured bacterium
Lineage: Bacteria
Description: partial 16S ribosomal RNA
Rfam family: Bacterial small subunit ribosomal RNA
Source: RNAcentral